Molecule: ribosomal RNA, 322 nt
Filed under: uncultured bacterium
Lineage: Bacteria
Description: bacterial SSU rRNA
Rfam family: Bacterial small subunit ribosomal RNA
Source: RNAcentral
CGGCCGCGUCGACUAUCCUACGUGUAGGAUUUUGUAUGUACCGUAUGAAUAAGCAUCGGCUAACUACGUGCCAGCAGCCGCGGUAAUACGUAGGUGGCAAGCGUUGUCCGGAUUUAUUGGGCGUAAAGCGAGCGCAGGCGGAAGAAUAAGUCUGAUGUGAAAGCCCUCGGCUUAACCGAGGAACUGCAUCGGAAACUGUUUUUCUUGAGUGCAGAAGAGGAGAGUGGAAUUCCAUGUGUAGCGGUGGAAUGCGUAGAUAUAUGGAAGAACACCAGUGGCGAAGGCGACUCUCUGGUCUGCAACUGACGCUGAGGCUCGAAAG